CGGAACGUCUAUCCCCGUCUAUCCCAUAGACGUUCAUACCCUACCUUUGUUUCGUUGCAUUUUUAAAUUAAACUUUUUAACUAACAACAGUGGAACUAGAUCUAUUUUUACUUUAUAAAAGAGUUCUUCAUCCUUUGUUUACAUAGAAAUUAGAUCUACAGAAAAAUUAAUUGAAUUUGUUCUAAAUCAAGACGAAAGAAAAGUAAAGUACCCAAUGCAAGAAUAUUUGUUAAUACAGUCAUCUGAAGAAGACAUUAAAGUGUCACUGAUGGCUAAUAUAGAGCAUGAGUCCAGUCUUGACCUGGGCAAUGUAAUAAAACAUGAGAAGAAAGAAAGUCUUAGUGAAGCAUGUUUGAUAACACAGUCAUGUGAACUACAAGACAUAAAAUUGUCACAUGUAAAAAUUGAAAAGACUGAAGGAGAUGAAGUAACUUCUUCUAUGCAGCCAUUUGAAAACUACUGCCAUGGUCAAACUUGUGCUGUGACCCCAGGAUAUCAGGCAGAUAUUCUAAAGCAGGAGAUAAAAAUGUCUUGUACUACUGAAAGUGAUGAACCAUUGUCCUUAGCAUCAAGACUACUAGCUAUGUCAAAGAAGGCAGACAGAAACUUUUAUCCAGUGCCCAUCAUUUUGCCAAACUUAAAACUGACUGGACACAUACCUCUCCCAGAACUGCCAUUGAGCGAGAUAAAAAACAUGAAGCAAGAAAAAGAAAUGACGUCAACAAAUGUAUUUCUAAAGGAUAUGCAUGAUAAUAUGGAACCAAGCCUAUCUAAUGAAACUGUUUUGGACAGGAUCAAGAAAUCUACAUGCACUGAUAAUCAUCAAAUAAAUAAACUUUUCACUUGCCAAAUGUGUCAAAAAGGAUUUUCUAGCUCUAAAAUAUUACAAAAUCAUGAGUUGAUUCAUACUGGUGAACAACCAUUUAAAUGUCAAAUAUGUCAGAAAGGAUUUUCUUGUUCUUUUGAUUUGAAGAAACACCAACAGACUCAUACUGAUGAAAAAACAUUUAAAUGCCAAAUAUGUCAGAAAGGAUUUUCUAGACCUAGUAUUAUGAAAUACCAUCAACAGACUCAUACUGGUGAAAAACCAUUUAAAUGUCAAAUAUGUCAGAAAGGAUUUUCUAGACCUAGUAUUAUGAAAUACCACCAACAGACUCAUGCUGGUGAAAAAACAUUUAAAUGUCAAAUAUGUCAGAAAGGAUUUGUUCAUUCUUCUAGUUUGAAACUCCACCAACAGAUUCAUACUGGUGAAAAACCAUUUAAAUGUCAAAUAUGUCUGAAAGGAUUUUCUCAAUCUAUUAAUUUGAAGCACCACCAACUGACUCAUACUGGUGAAAAACCAUUUAAAUGUCAUAUAUGUCAGAAAGGACUUUCUCGUUCUUCUGAUUUGAAGAAACACCAACUGAAUCAUACUGGUGAAAAACCGUUUAAGUGUCAAAUAUGUCAGAAAGGAUUUACUAGGUCAAGUCAUUUGAAGCGCCAUCAACUGAUUCAUACUGGUGAAAAACCAUUUAAAUGUCAAAUAUGUCAGAAAGGAUAUUAUCAUUCUUCUCAUCUGAAAGAACACCAACACACUCAUACUGAUGAAAAACCAUUUAAAUGUCAAAUAUGUCAGAGAGGAUAUACUCAUUCUUUUCAUUUGAAACAACACCAACUGAAUCAUACUGGUGAAAAACCAUUUAAGUGUCAAAUAUGUCAUAAAGGAUUUACUAAGUCAAAUCAUAUGAAGCGCCAUCAACUGAUUCAUACUGUUGAAAAAACAUUUAAAUGUGAAAUAUGUCAGAAAAGAUUUUCUAAUUCUUAUAGUUUGAAAAAACACCAACAGACUCAUACUGGUGAAAAACCAUUUAAAUGUGCAAUAUGUCAAAAAGGAUUUCCUCAUUCUUAUAAUUUGAAACAACACCAACUCACUCAUACUGGUGAAAAACCAUUUAAGUGUCAAAUAUGUCUGAAAGGAUUUUCUCAGUUAUCUCAUUUGAAGCGCCACCAACUGACUCAUACUGGUUAAAAACCAUUUAAAUUUCACAUAUGUGGAAGAGGAUUCUCUAGUGCUUCACAUUUGAAACAACACUGCUUGGUUUGUACUUAUCAUUUGAAUGUCCAAAGUGUCAGAAAGGAUUUACUUUCUAUUCUAAUUUCAAACAGCACCAGUUAAUUUAUUAUGGCGAAAGACCAUUUAAAUGUGACAUUUGGAAAAGGAACUUUUAGCAUUUUACGUUUGAAACAGCACCACCCAGUUCAUUAUUUUGAAAACAUUCAUAUGGAAAAAAGAGGGGUUUCUAAUUUUUCUGACCAUUUGAAUAUCAAAGAAAGGAUUUUCACAUCAAUGCAAACUGGUUCAUAGAAGUUCCCCUUUUCAGACCUUGUGAUCUAUAGGACAGAUGAUGUUAAGGUUAUCUGCUUCUUUGGCCAAUGGUUAAGAGGCAGGGUGUAAUGUGGCAAGCGCAAUGACCAACUGCCUUUACUUUCCCAACUCAAGUCAGGAACCUGUUGGGUGGUUUGAAGGGCGACCUAAAAAUCCAGAAGUUUAAAAUCCAACACUUCACCAAAAAGUGAACCCAAGACCCCGGGUUUGGAAGCCAAGCACUUAGCCACCAUGCUCCUCAACUGGUUCAUACAAGUCAAUAAAACUUGUAAAAAUUUUCACAAAGGAUUUUCUUUGUUUACUUAUUGUAUUUGAAACAGGAUUAAUUGGAUUUAAAUGUGACAGUUUUCGAAAAGAUUUGUUACCUUCUCAUUUUGGAAAAUUCACUUUACAGUUCAUAUUGGUGAAAAAUUACAUUAAUAUUUUAGGGAAAUUUGUAACUCUCUUUUUAAUAUGUCAAUUCAACUUCAUAGAAACUGGAACUUUCUGGUUGGGUGGGUUUAAAAACCUGGACACAGAUCUCAAGAAUGGCUUUUUACAAUUUUCCUAAAAAUUUGACUCUUGUUGUAUAUCAUGACAAAAGAAUUACUACCUUGUUGGCCAAAAUCUAGCAGAUCUAUAAAUUCCCUAAACACAGAUUCUUUCUUACGAGGGAUUGGGGAAUCUGGUGGGGUAAAAAUGAUCUAACAUUCAUCAGUGAUUAAGAUAAAAUAAUCAAUCCAUUUAAGUUGUCAAAGGAGACUUUUUUUUCCUUCUUCCUAUUGUUAUACACUCUGUUUUUUCAUAGUAGUGAGAGACCAUUUAAAAGUUAAAUAAAUUAGACCUAUAUAAAUAUAAUCAUCUAAAUGCCUACGGUUCGAUCAUAUUCUUUUAAAAUUGUAGAAAUAUUUAUCCAUAAUAAAAUCUGUAAUAAGGAAUAUGUUUCUUAUAUAAACGUUAAUGCACAAUAAAAAAAAGAAAGAUGUCUAAAUUAAUACGUAUGCUGCUAUUUUUGCAAUUUAAGGGGACUCCAACCAGACCCUGAACUAUUUAUACACAUGCAACAUCUAGCUCUAGAUCCACUAUUUUUUCUGUAAUUAAUGUAAUUAUGAUGUAAUUAAUAAGAGUAUAUUUAUUAAUUAUAUAAUAAUAUACUAUUCUAUUCAAAACUGCUUCUAGAAAUAGUGUAUAGUUGUUUAUUCACUCUACUGGACACAUACCUCUCCCAGAACUGCCAUUGAGUGAGAUAAAAAAACAUGAGGCAAGAAAAAGAAAUGACUUCAACAAAUGUAUUUCUAAAGGACAAACACUAAAAAAUAACAACUCUUGUCACAUACUUUAUAAAAUUUCACUGGUCCCAUUUUUCAUGUCUGGAUAGCUUAUAAUAGCUUCUUGUGAUAAGGAACAUCUGAAACAUGCAAAAUAAGAAAAUUAAAAAAAAGCACAAAACAAAAUAAAUUAUCACUUGUGAAUCGGUCUAUCCUUUCUUUCCAUAAACAUAUCAUGAACAGUCAUUAGAUUCACACUUGGGUGCUCAGAAAUGUAUUUCUAAAGGACAUGCAUGAUCACAUGGAAGGGAGCCUAUCCAAUAAAAUUGUUUCAGAUAAGCUCAAGAAUUCUACUUGCAAUGAUGAUCAUCAAAUAGAUAAACUUUUCACUUGCCAAAUUAGUCUAAAAGUAUUUUCUAACUCUAAAACAUUACAAAAUCAUGAAUUAAUUCAUUGCUGGUGAAAAAACAUUUAAAUGUCAUGUUUAUGAAAAAUCAUUUUUUUUAUACAGGUGACGAACUGUUUAAAUCAGUGGUUCCCAAACUUUUUUGUCCCGUAGACCCCUUGCCAUGUUUUCUGGUUUUCGGUAGACCCCCUGCUCAACUUGCACAUUUUUGAAAAUUCAUUAACAUUUUCUUAAACAAAUUUCUAACUGUAGUGAGUUGAAGAGUGAAGGAAAACUUAACUCAAACCUCUGCUGCCUUGCUACUAUACCCAAACAUGGGAAAGGUCUCGUUGGUCAACCCAAGAAAAUAUUAAGAACGGUGACUCUUAGCGCCAUGUAUUCCUGGGCCGUCCCCUCUUUCUCUUUCCUUGGGGGUUUCAGGUUAGGGCUUGCCUUGUUAUGUUGGAUGCAGACUUGCGAAGUGUGUGACCUAUCCAUCUCCAGCGUCUCUGAAGGAUAUCUACUUCAAUGAGCUGCUGCUUUGUUCUUUGCCACAGUUCCUCAUUCGAGAUCUUGUCUGGCCAGCGGAUUAUAAGAAUCUUCCUCAGGCAGGUAUUGAUGAAUACCUUAUUUUUUUCAUGGUGGUGAUGAUGGUCUCCGCGAUUUGGAAGCAGAUGCCAACCAGAUGGGCAAGACGUGCGGACAGUUGGAGAGAUUCGCCCAGAACCGAGAUGCCUGGAGGAAGCUGGUUGUUGGCCUAUGCUCAGAAGGAACCACAGGCAUAGAUGAGCUGAGAUGGUGACCAUUAGACAGUUUGUAGCACACAGCGCUUGUCAGACCAAACUGUAUUUAUGUCUUUUGCAAUGAUUUACAUAAGAAGCUUUCAAUUUUAUAACUCAUGCCACCGAAGCGACCUUGAACUGUAUUGUCGCUUAAAGAAAUGCUUUUAAUAAUAACAGAUGUAGGUUUGUGUAAAAUGGCUGGUAAAAUCAAUGUUGGACCUUUCCUGUUUUCCGUAUUUUACUUUAAGUAAUGAAAUCUUGUAAGACUCUCACAAACCAUCAUCUUCUCUACAUGAUGUCGAACAGAGAUUUUGUGGGUCUAUUUUGAACUUUGAGUGUUCAAAAGUUUUUCAAAUCUUAAUUUUUGUCAGGGUGGCAUUGUAUCAAAUGAUCCUCCAACGUAACUGGUUCAUAUCAUCAUAAAAAGUCACAUAGGCAACUGCUUGUUUGACAAGGAAGGAAGGAAUCCGAAUUUUAAAUAAUUAAUGCUGUACUGUCUACAUUUCUUUUCUUUUUUUUCUUCUAAAUAUUAGUUACAUGUAGACAAAAUUAAGCUAUUUAAAUAAGUAUUGAAAUUGAUUACAACAAUUUUUCGUUUGAAUAGCAGGAUAAAUAUUUAAAGGAUUAACGAAGGUACACAUCAUAUAUUGGUGUAUGAAAUAAUUACAUUAAUGGAAUGUGAACAUUAAGUAACUCGACCUGCUUAAAUGAAAUCUAUUAUCGUAGACCCCCGUGGACAUCUCAUAGACCCCCAGUUUAUUUUUUUACUUUCGUAGACCCCUUGGAGGUCUUCGUAGACCCUUGGGGUCUAUAUAGACCACUUUGGGAAUCAAUGGUUUAAAUACUAUGUAUGCCAACAAAAAUUUUCUCAUAUAUCAAAUUUGAAACACCACAAAAUGAUUCAUAUAGGUGAAACACCAUUUAAAUGUCAAAUAUGUCAGAAAGGAUUUUCUCAGUCUUGUAGUAAGCGCCACCACCAGUUGGUUCAUAUUGGUGAAAAAUCAUUUACCGGUAUAUGUCAAAUAUGUGAAAAAGGAUUUUCAUGCUUUGCUGAUUUGAAAAGACACGUUCAUACUCUUGAAAAAACAUUUAAAUGUCAAAUAUGUCAGAAAGGAUUUUCUCAUUCUUGUAGUUUGAAGCUCCACCACCUGACUCAUCAUCAUCAUUAUCAUCACUCCUUUGAGUUCCUCAUGGAAGAUAGGGCCUCGACAAAAACAUGCCACCCUCCACGGUCUCUCGCUAGUUUUUUAAUGGUUUCCCAGCUCUUCUCAGUCUUCUCUGCUUCUUCAAGUAAACUGACUCAUACUGGUGAAAAACCAUUUUAAUGUCAAAUAUGUCAGAAAGGAUUUCCUUCCCCUGGUAAUUUAAAAAGACACCAAAUGGUUCAUUCUGAUGAAAAAUCAAUUAAAUGUCCAAUAUGUCAGAAAGGAAUUUCUGAGUCUUCUAGUUUGGAGCGCCACCAACUGAUUCAUACUGGUACAAAACUAUUUAAAUGUCAAAUAUGUCAGUCAAUUCAUUUAAAGCACCACCAUUUGACUCAAACUGGUGAAAAAAACAUUAAAAUAUCAAAUAUGUCAAAAAGGAUUUUCUUAACCCUAGAAUUUAAAAAUACCAUCACCAGUUGGUUUAUACUGGUGAAAACCAUUUAAAUGCUUAAUAUGUCAGAAAGGAUUUUUGCAGUCUUGUAGUUCGAAGCACCACCAACUGACUUAUGAUCUAUAGGGCAGAUGAUGUUAAGGUCAUCUGUUUCUUGGGCCAACAGUUUACAAGCAGGGUUUCAUGUAGCCAUCACAAUGAUGAACUGACCUGGACACCGAUCUCAAAAAUGUCUCUUAUGAUUUUCCUAAAAAAUUGAUUCUCUUUAUAUAUUGUUGGGAAAAUAAUUGCUAGCUUGUUGGGGAUGUUGUUGGGUAAAAAAAUGUUUCCUUUUUUU
Biomphalaria glabrata is the source of this 6712-nucleotide RNA transcript. It is a transcript of the gene named zinc finger protein 235-like, with no coding region annotated. NCBI's taxonomy places the organism in Eukaryota, Metazoa, Mollusca, Gastropoda, Planorbidae. The transcript is spliced from 5 exons. The record is from RefSeq and is a predicted model, not a curated record.